This 816-nucleotide small RNA is filed under the name Pongo abelii (Sumatran orangutan). Its description in RNAcentral is "processed transcript". The record is from RNAcentral. Lineage: Eukaryota; Metazoa; Chordata; Mammalia; Primates; Hominidae.
CCUGCGAGAGCCGCCGGGUCGGCCGAUCGUCCCCAUACCUCGGCCAUGCGGCCCCUGCUGCUCUUGGCCCCGCUGGGCUGGCUGCUGCUGGCCGAAGCGAAGGGCGACGCCAAGCCGGAGGACAACCUUUUAGUCCUCACGGUGGCCACUAAGGAGACCGAGGGAUUCCGUCGCUUCAAGCGCUCAGCUCAGUUCUUCAACUACAAGAUCCAGGCGCUUGGCCUAGGGGAGGACUGGAAUGUGGAGAAGGGGACGUCGGCAGGUGGAGGGCAGAAGGUCCGGCUGCUGAAGAAAGCUCUGGAGAAGCACGCAGACAAGGAGGAUCUGGUCAUUCUCUUCACAGACAGCUACGACGUGCUGUUUGCAUCGGGGCCCCGGGAGCUCCUGAAGAAGUUCCGGCAGGCCAGGAGCCAGGUGGUCUUCUCUGCCGAGGAGCUCAUCUACCCAGACCGCAGGCUGGAGACCAAGUAUCCGGUGGUCUCCGAUGGCAAGAGGUUCCUGGGCUCUGGAGGCUUCAUCGGUUAUGCCCCCAACCUCAGCAAACUGGUGGCCGAGUGGGAGGGCCAGGACAGCGACAGCGACCAGCUGUUUUACACCAGGAUCUUCUUGGACCCGGAGAAGAGGGUGAGCCGGCUGCAUUCUUAGAUUCCUUCCAGUUCAGAGUCCCUGGUGUUCUGUGAGUAGAGACACUAGACUGUAGACCCCAGGAGCUUGGCUGCUGGUCUCUGGGCACCCAGCUGCCCUGAUGUGGCGUGGCAGAGUAGGUGUGGGGAGAGAGGGCUGAGCUUUGGGGACAGAUUCACCACACUGGGUGAG